Molecule: ribosomal RNA, 537 nt
Filed under: Spencermartinsiella sp. BG090809.6.8.4.2.24
Lineage: Eukaryota; Fungi; Ascomycota; Dipodascomycetes; Dipodascales; Trichomonascaceae
Description: eukaryotic LSU rRNA
Rfam family: Eukaryotic large subunit ribosomal RNA
Source: RNAcentral
CGCUGAACUUAAGCAUAUCAAUAAGCGGAGGAAAAGAAACCAACUGGGAUUGCCUUAGUAACGGCGAGUGAAGCGGCAAAAGCUCAAAUUUGAAAUCUGGCGCCUUUGGUGUCCGAGUUGUAAUUUGAAGAAGGUAACUUUUGAAAUGAGCCUUGCAUAAGUUCCUUGGAACAGGACGUCAUAGAGGGUGAGAAUCCCGUAUAUGGUGGGGUAUUCAUUUCAAUGUAAAGUGCUUUCGAAGAGUCGAGUUGUUUGGGAAUGCAGCUCUAAGUGGGUGGUAAAUUCCAUCUAAAGCUAAAUAUUGGCGAGAGACCGAUAGCGAACAAGUACAGUGAUGGAAAGAUGAAAAGAACUUUGAAAAGAGAGUGAAAAAGUACGUGAAAUUGUUGAAAGGGAAGGGCUUGAAAUCAGACUUGGUAUUCAGUGAUCAGCGAUCUCUCGGGGUUGUGCACUUGCUGUUUACUGGGCCAGCAUCGGUUUUGACGGUGGGAUAAGAGUACUUGAAUGUGGCUCCCUUCGGGGAGUGUUUAUAGCCUG